RNAcentral lists this transfer RNA (84 nucleotides) under bacterium. RNAcentral describes it as "tRNA-Leu". It matches the Rfam family "tRNA". Rfam says of the family: Transfer RNA (tRNA) molecules are approximately 80 nucleotides in length. RNAcentral also lists the same sequence under 1 other name. The record is from RNAcentral.
GCCUCGGUGGCGGAAUUGGUAGACGCGCACGACUCAAAAUCGUGUAGUAGUGAUACUGUGAGAGUUCGAUUCUCUCCCGAGGCA